This 75-nucleotide transfer RNA is filed under the name bacterium. Its description in RNAcentral is "tRNA-Asn". It matches the Rfam family "tRNA". From Rfam's summary of the family: Transfer RNA (tRNA) molecules are approximately 80 nucleotides in length. RNAcentral also lists the same sequence under 3 other names. The record is from RNAcentral.
UCCGGGGUAGCUCAACGGCAGAGCGGCUGGCUGUUAACCAGCGGGCUGCAGGUUCGAGUCCUGCCCCCGGAGCCA